RNAcentral lists this unclassified non-coding RNA (297 nucleotides) under uncultured fungus. Its description in RNAcentral is "partial contains small subunit ribosomal RNA, internal transcribed spacer 1, and 5.8S ribosomal RNA". The stretch from base 1 to 73 matches the Rfam family "Eukaryotic small subunit ribosomal RNA", at positions 1759 to 1831 of the family's 1831-position model. The record is from RNAcentral. Lineage: Eukaryota; Fungi.
GCAAACUUGGUCAUUUAGAGGAAGUAAAAGUCGUAACAAGGUUUCCGUAGGUGAACCUGCGGAAGGAUCAUUACCGAGUUUUUGAAAAUCUUUUUGAUUUUCAACUCUCACCCUUUGUUUAUUCAGAACUUUUUUGCCUCGUCAAGUUUUUUGUGAAUAUUUUUUCAUAAAGGGGAAACCCACUUGACGAAAGGCAUUUUUUAAAUUCUUUAAAAAAAGAUUUUCUGAAAAAAAAUUAAAUAAAUCAAAACUUUCAACAACGGAUCUCUUGGUUCUGGUGUCGAUGAAGAACGCAGC